Molecule: ribosomal RNA, 482 nt
Filed under: uncultured bacterium
Lineage: Bacteria
Description: partial 16S ribosomal RNA
Rfam family: Bacterial small subunit ribosomal RNA
Source: RNAcentral
AUUGAACGCUGGCGGCAUGCUUUACACAUGCAAGUCGAACGGUAACAGGCCGCAAGGUGCUGACGAGUGGCGAACGGGUGAGUAAUGCAUCGGAACGUGCCCAGUCGUGGGGGAUAACUACUCGAAAGAGUAGCUAAUACCGCAUCCGAUCUAUGGAUGAAAGCGGGGGACCGUAAGGCCUCGCGCGAUUGGAGCGGCCGAUGUCAGAUUAGGUAGUUGGUGGGGUAAAGGCUCACCAAGCCAACGAUCUGUAGCUGGUCUGAGAGGACGACCAGCCACACUGGGACUGAGACACGGCCCAGACUCCUACGGGAGGCAGCAGUGGGGAAUUUUGGACAAUGGGCGCAAGCCUGAUCCAGCAAUGCCGCGUGCAGGAAGAAGGCCUUCGGGUUGUAAACUGCUUUUGUACGGAACGAAACGGCUCUGGUUAAUACCCGGGGCUAAUGACGGUACCGUAAGAAUAAGCACCGGCUAACUACGUG